UACGUAGGGGGCAAGCGUUGUCCGGAAUCAUUGGGCGUAAAGCGCGCGUAGGCGGCCCGGUAAGUCCGCUGUAAAAGUCCAGGGCUCAACCCUGGAAAGCCGGUGGAUACUGUCGGGCUCGAGUCCGGAAGAGGCGAGUGGAAUUCCUGGUGUAGCGGUGGAAUGCGCAGAUAUCAGGAGGAACACCAAUGGCGAAGGCAGCUCGCUGGGACGGUACUGACGCUAAGGCGCGACAGCGUGGGGAGCAAACAGG
This 253-nucleotide ribosomal RNA is filed under the name uncultured bacterium. Its description in RNAcentral is "partial 16S ribosomal RNA". It matches the Rfam family "Bacterial small subunit ribosomal RNA", at positions 524 to 776 of the family's 1533-position model. The record is from RNAcentral.